CCUGCAUCCCAUGGAGAGAAAACACUCGGAGAAGCUGGAGAGAGAGCGGAGAUGCACGUUACAACGCAGCCAUUUAUCAGCACAGGAUAAUGCUUCUUCCUCCUCUGACAUGAACGUGGGGUCUGUAAUUGUGCUUUUAAUUUUCAUGUCAAGGAUGCAAUAGUGGAGGGCUUCAUUACCGAGACAGACAGUUAUUUUAUCUUUGCGUGCAGCAGAAAUAAAACAUGCAAAAAUAACUCUCACUCUUAAAGAAACACACAGUAAUUCUUUA
This 271-nucleotide long non-coding RNA is filed under the name Xyrichtys novacula (pearly razorfish). The record is from RNAcentral. Lineage: Eukaryota; Metazoa; Chordata; Actinopteri; Labriformes; Labridae.